RNAcentral lists this ribosomal RNA (556 nucleotides) under Bifidobacterium pseudocatenulatum. RNAcentral's name for it is "bacterial SSU rRNA". It matches the Rfam family "Bacterial small subunit ribosomal RNA", at positions 146 to 711 of the family's 1533-position model. The record is from RNAcentral. Lineage: Bacteria; Bacillati; Actinomycetota; Actinomycetes; Bifidobacteriales; Bifidobacteriaceae.
UCUCCUGGAAAACGGGUGGUAAUGCCGGAUGCUCCGACUCCUCGCAUGGGGUGUCGGGAAAGAUUUCAUCGGUAUGGGAUGGGGUCGCGUCCUAUCAGGUAGUCGGCGGGGUAACGGCCCACCGAGCCUACGACGGGUAGCCGGCCUGAGAGGGCGACCGGCCACAUUGGGACUGAGAUACGGCCCAGACUCCUACGGGAGGCAGCAGUGGGGAAUAUUGCACAAUGGGCGCAAGCCUGAUGCAGCGACGCCGCGUGCGGGAUGACGGCCUUCGGGUUGUAAACCGCUUUUGAUCGGGAGCAAGCCUUCGGGUGAGUGUACCUUUCGAAUAAGCACCGGCUAACUACGUGCCAGCAGCCGCGGUAAUACGUAGGGUGCAAGCGUUAUCCGGAAUUAUUGGGCGUAAAGGGCUCGUAGGCGGUUCGUCGCGUCCGGUGUGAAAGUCCAUCGCUUAACGGUGGAUCUGCGCCGGGUACGGGCGGGCUGGAGUGCGGUAGGGGAGACUGGAAUUCCCGGUGUAACGGUGGAAUGUGUAGAUAUCGAAAAAAAAACACCA